CCGUCCUUAGUAAAGUUGUUAGUACACUUGACAUGGACAUAAGAUACGUGAGUUCAAUUCCCACAGGACACA
This 72-nucleotide transfer RNA is filed under the name Puccinia sorghi. It matches the Rfam family "tRNA". From Rfam's summary of the family: Transfer RNA (tRNA) molecules are approximately 80 nucleotides in length. Their secondary structure includes four short double-helical elements and three loops (D, anti-codon, and T loops). The record is from Rfam by way of RNAcentral. Lineage: Eukaryota; Fungi; Basidiomycota; Pucciniomycetes; Pucciniales; Pucciniaceae.